CAGUAGCCGCGGUAAUACGAAGGGGGCUAGCGUUGCUCGGAAUUACUGGGCGUAAAGGGAGCGUAGGCGGACUGUUUAGUCAGAGGUGAAAGCCCAGGGCUCAACCUUGGAAUUGCCUUUGAUACUGGCAGUCUUGAGUACGGAAGGGGUAUGUGGAACUCCGAGUGUAGAGGUGAAAUUCGUAGAUAUUCGGAAGAACACCAGUGGCGAAGGCGACAUACUGGUCCGUUACUGACGCUGAGGCUCGAAAGCGUGGGGAGCAAACAGGAUUAGAUACCCGAGUAGUCCCUGUCUCUUAUAC
Molecule: ribosomal RNA, 301 nt
Filed under: uncultured bacterium
Lineage: Bacteria
Description: partial 16S ribosomal RNA
Rfam family: Bacterial small subunit ribosomal RNA
Source: RNAcentral